UCUUAUGACCAUUUUCCCAACAUAAACUACAUUGUUGUGUCAUAUGAUCUGGAGCAAUAUCCAAUUCAUUUCUACGAUGCCUAGUACUGUUGACUCAUAAGUUCUCAAACAUGUUCAUUUUGUUUUUCUUCUAAUACUUUUAGCAAUUUCCUUAGAAGAUUAUCUUUCUUCUACAAAUUUCAUAGUAAUGUGUGAAGUCGUUGUAUCACCGUCGAAAGAGGGUCUCCUCACCCGUAAAAGAAUGGUGUUAGUUUCAUUUAUGAGCAUGUUUUCUGUCCACCAAAAAUAAUUCAUCCAUCAUUUUUCUGAAAUAACAAAACAAGAAAUCAAGUGAAUAUCCAAAUAUUUUGAAGUGGACAACUUAAUUUUUUUUACCUUUGAAUGUGCACAACUCCAAAACUUAAGAUCAGAAUUUCUUGGAGUCCUCGAUGUUUACAUUUUACAAUACUCUUUACAGUUACAAACAUCUAGUUCAACUAAAUAUACAAACUUUCCGGAUUGUUGAGACAUGACUAUCAAAUUUCAAAAAUCAAAAUAUUAAGUAUGAAAAAGUAAACGAUGAAUGAAAAAUGUGGAGUGAGUAACUCAUAUUUAUUGUUGAAGAAAGAUAUAUAUAUAUAGAUUCACGUGAGUGGAGUUAACAAAAAGAAUUAUAGUUCUCCCAUUUGUGAGCGAACUACUAUUAAGAUUUGUAUAAUAUUGAUUUGGAUGAAUUUGGAGUUAAAGGAGACUACGACGUAAAAGAUGAUA
RNAcentral lists this long non-coding RNA (750 nucleotides) under Solanum tuberosum (potato). RNAcentral's name for it is "long non-coding RNA (STUB_LNC002008)". Lineage: Eukaryota; Viridiplantae; Streptophyta; Magnoliopsida; Solanales; Solanaceae. The record is from RNAcentral.